CAGUCGCCGCGGUAAUACAGAGGGUGCGAGCGUUAAUCGGAUUUACUGGGCGUAAAGCGUGUGUAGGCGGCUUCUUAAGUCGGAUGUGAAAUCCCUGAGCUUAACUUAGGAAUUGCAUUCGAUACUGGGAAGCUAGAGUAUGGGAGAGGAUGGUAGAAUUCCAGGUGUAGCGGUGAAAUGCGUAGAGAUCUGGAGGAAUACCGAUGGCGAAGGCAGCCAUCUGGCCUAAUACUGACGCUGAGGUACGAAAGCAUGGGGAGCAAACAGGAUUAGAUACCCCAGUAGUCCCUGUCUCUUAUAC
RNAcentral lists this ribosomal RNA (301 nucleotides) under uncultured bacterium. RNAcentral's name for it is "partial 16S ribosomal RNA". It matches the Rfam family "Bacterial small subunit ribosomal RNA", at positions 509 to 807 of the family's 1533-position model. The record is from RNAcentral.